This 1186-nucleotide long non-coding RNA is filed under the name Struthio camelus australis. RNAcentral describes it as "lncRNA (ENSSCUG00000001527.1)". The record is from RNAcentral. Lineage: Eukaryota; Metazoa; Chordata; Aves; Struthioniformes; Struthionidae.
ACGGUGCGCAGAGCGCUCAGGAGGAACACGGAGCGACAGCAGAGGAUCUAGAGAACGUCUUAGGGAGAACAGUGUCAAGGAGGCUGUGAGCAAAAUCCGGACUGAAAUGAAUCCACGUGUACAUCUGUAUAGAAAUCAUGUUAGUCUGCCAAGCCGAAUGGGAGGUGCAGCAGAGCGCUGGGAUAGGACGGCUAAGUGCCCUUGUGCUGUAUUUACAGAAUUGGAGAGCACCAUGCUGAUUGCUGUCUCUGCACAUAUCCUACUAAGAAUUAUGAAACAUGAACAUUAACUAAGAACCUUCUAGUGAUAAAUGCUGAAAAUAAUUCCAUUGCAGACUCCUCUGGAGGUGUGAUGGAACGGCAAGAAAUGGCCUUAUAUUUAAUGUUGUUAUAGGUAUCCCAGAGCAAUAUCUGCUCUUUCCCGCCGCUCCUCCCUUUUCACCAUUUCCUUCCUUGCACGGUUUCGUGUUAUUGAACUGCAUACUCUUGGGGGACAAAGUAGUGGCUCAGUUCUGUGACACUUAAACAAGUGCCAUUGCUCGUCAUCUUUGGUGAAAUACUGCCACUGCGCUGCUGCAGCUCUCGGAGCAGGGCGGGCUCUGGCCUUUUGGGAAGGACAGCCUUUGCGCAGGCCUGCCUUUGAAAUGGGUACAAAUAUUGAACCACCCUCUGAUUCGGCAUGGCGUGGCACUCAAUUUAGUCUUGGCAUCAAACUACAGACCACCUGGCCUUGCAGCCUCUACGCUCUUCUCCUUGUUGUGAAAGCAUAAUUGCUAGCACAGUCACGCACUGAACUGUUUGGGGGAAAAAUAACAUGUGGCUGAAAGUGAACCUUCCACCUUGGGUCAUUUUUCUGCUAUGUUAGUUCCUUGUGAAAACACACAAGCAGCAGAGUUAUCACAACACAGGGGCACGAAAAAUAAGCGUAGAGCAGUCAGGGACUGCGGAGGCAGGCAAGCAGCAGUCGUGCUGAAUGAGGGAACCAUAGCCCAGGCGACACAUCCACAAACACUGCUCUGAGCUGCACUUCUGAGUCCCAGCUCAGGCUCUUAAGAACAAAGACGUUAGUUCUCUCAUUUCAGUGUGCUUUCCCUUUCUCCUUUUCCCUUCUGCUCCUGCCACUCACUGCCCCACUUAUGUUGGCUUGUUUGUUUGCAAAUAAAGCUUAGUACAAGUUUUCUAAAACA